UGGGGAAUUUUGGACAAUGGGCGAAAGCCUGAUCCAGCAAUGCCGCGUGUGUGAAGAAGGCCUUCGGGUUGUAAAGCACUUUUGUCCGGAAAGAAAUCCUUGGCUCUAAUACAGUCGGGGGAUGACGGUACCGGAAGAAUAAGCACCGGCUAACUACGUGCCAGCAGCCGCGGUAAUACGUAGGGUGCAAGCGUUAAUCGGAAUUACUGGGCGUAAAGCGUGCGCAGGCGGUUUGCUAAGACCGAUGUGAAAUCCCGGGCUCAACCUGGGAACUGCAUUGGUGACUGGCAGGCUAGAGUAUGGCAGAGGGGGGUAGAAUUCCACGUGUAGCAGUGAAAUGCGUAGAGAUGUGGAGGAAUACCGAUGGCGAAGGCAGCCCCCUGGGCCAAUACUGACGCUCAUGCACGAAAGCGUGGGGAGCAAACAGGAUUAGAUACCCUGGUAGUCCACGCCCUAAACGAUGUCAACUAGUUGUUGGGGAUUCAUUUCCUUAGUAACGUAGCUAACGCGUGAAGUUGACCGCCUGGGGAGUACGGUCG
Molecule: ribosomal RNA, 539 nt
Filed under: uncultured bacterium
Lineage: Bacteria
Description: partial 16S ribosomal RNA
Rfam family: Bacterial small subunit ribosomal RNA
Source: RNAcentral